This 240-nucleotide ribosomal RNA is filed under the name uncultured bacterium. Its description in RNAcentral is "partial 16S ribosomal RNA". It matches the Rfam family "Bacterial small subunit ribosomal RNA", at positions 335 to 592 of the family's 1533-position model. The record is from RNAcentral.
GGUCCUACGGGGGGCAGCAGUGGGGGAUAUUGCACAAUGGGGGGAACCCUGAUGCAGCGACGCCGCGUGGGUGAAGGAGCGUUUCGGCGCGUAAAGCCCUAUCGGCAGGGAAGAAGAUGACGGUACCUGACCAAGAAGCCCCGGCUAACUACGUGCCAGCAGCCGCGGUAAUACGUAGGGGGCAAGCGUUGUCCGGAAUGACUGGGCGUAAAGGGAGUGUAGGCGGCUUAUCAAGUUAGA